AGAGUUGCGGUUCAUCCCAUAGUGACAAUCAGGGCACUAGUUUACUUCCUACAAAUCAUUACAGAUUUGCAGGCUGGCAUAACUCCACCCCAAUGUAUUCUGUAAAAGUUCCGCCUCCAUAUUCUUCACUUUCAGUAGCUGUUAAAUGAACAAGUAUGUGGACGGCAGAGAACUCAAAUACGAAUAAAUUCUGAGGGUCAGUCAAGGAAGAUAAAGUGAAGUACUAUGAAGCUCAGCACCACAGGAUUGAUAAGAAGAUCUAUCUUGCACAUAGAUUGCCGGUACUUCUUAGGAAGUGGCUUCAAUGUAACCAUCACUGAAACAGCAUCAUCUGACAAGGGCUGAACUCUCAUCACCAGCUUUCAUCUAAUCAAGGCAGUUGGAUCCCUUUGCCUUUUGCAAUUGAAAUACAAAUGUAAGAACGAAAGAUGAAGCAGCUUUUUCAUCUGUUGCUCUCUCUCUCCAAACCCCUAAGUCGCAGGGUUCUUUCCUACAAUGGAAGAAAAGAAAGUAUAUCGAAUAGAUGAAGGUAGCACCGAAGAUGUGAGUCAAAAAAGUAACCAUGAUAUAAGUAACAUCAGCAAUGGAAACAAAACUAUUCACGAAGAUGGCCAUAACAACAAUAUUAAAGUAACAAAUGGUGAAAACAACUCAACUAUUGAAAAUAAAUCUAUUUCAGCUGCAGAUUCUAGCACACCAUUAUUGGGCACAAGGCAAAUUCAAGCUCUACUUUAUUUUCUUGUUUUUUUGUUUCUUUCUACAUGAGAGCAAGCCUCUCUAUGGCCAUAGUUGUAAUGACAAGUAAAAUAACACCAAUGAAGGAUACGAGGUGAGUGAAACAAAAAAAAAUUUUUCUUUGCAGGUGUAUAUUGUUUUCUCUUUUUUCUAAUAUAUGCACCUAGGUCGUCCGGAAAACAAUGCGACUGGUGCUCGUACAAACAAACAUAAACCUCCAGCAAAAUUCAACCUGCAUAACACUAAAGAGUAACCCAUCAGCCGUAAAAUAAGUACUUUUAGAGUUUGUUCGGUUCAAAAUUAAGCUUGUUAAAAUGUUUUAAAAAUCUUUUGCUAAGGGGUCCAUUCUUUUAUUUUCAGAUAGUAUUUCGAGAGAGGGAGAGAAAAAAAAACUGCAUAAUCAAGAUUCACAAUCUAUCUUUAUAUAGUCUAUAACACGAAAAGUGGUGGCUGAGGGGCGGAAUUAGGUGAGUGACUCGAUCUAUUGUCUGAGGGUGAGCUUGGGCCCUCUGAAUGAGCCAAUGUACCUGCAUUCAAACCCUCAACCAAUAAAACGAGCCGCUCAGCUGAUUCUGCCUCUCAGUCAUUACUUUUCAGCAACAUAGCAAAGUUCUCUGUCAAAACAGAAAAAUUCAUCUGCUUGAAACCACUCGAUCUUAGGGGAACAAUGUAUGUUCAGUGCAUAAAGGUAAUGCUUCACACAUAGGUGCACAUAAUGAUCUUCUCCCAAUAGCU
This 1470-nucleotide long non-coding RNA is filed under the name Bemisia tabaci. Its description in RNAcentral is "lncRNA ENSSSA2NGG003207". Lineage: Eukaryota; Metazoa; Arthropoda; Insecta; Hemiptera; Aleyrodidae. The record is from RNAcentral.